UCUCAGGCCAGCUGUACCCCUAAGCUGCAGGUCCCAGCUCUUCUCAAGGUGACUCUGCAUUUGACUGUCUCCUUCCAGAUUCUGGUAAGAGACUAGAAGAAUAAAGGCAGGACCUGCCCGUGUGCCAGAUCUGCACAUCUGGACAGAUGAGGACAGAUGCGGAGGAGGCGGGCAGGGAUUCUCUGGAAGGCUAAGGAUGCUGUUUGCUCCUUGGGCAGCAGAAGCUUCAUUGUGUGGAAUUGUGUGGCCGCACCAUGAUUUUAUUAACCAGUCUCCUGUUGGUGGACAUUCAAAUUGUUUCCAGAUCUGAACAAGGAAACAUGGCAUCUUGCUACUGUGAGCUGAAGACAAAGCCUACAAAGGAAAGAGCACGAAGCCAAGAGAAUGGGAGAGAAAUAGAGCCACAGUCUGAUGCCACCGUGAAUAUCCGAAUCAAACUGCACCUGAAGGCCACCCUACCACUGAUUUUUUCAUUUAAUGAGCCAAUAAAUUCUCUUUAUCAUUUAAGUCAA
This is a long non-coding RNA of Galeopterus variegatus (Sunda flying lemur), 512 nucleotides long. RefSeq lists it as uncharacterized. The record is from RefSeq and is a predicted model, not a curated record. The transcript is spliced from 4 exons. Lineage: Eukaryota; Metazoa; Chordata; Mammalia; Dermoptera; Cynocephalidae.